RNAcentral lists this ribosomal RNA (168 nucleotides) under uncultured bacterium. Its description in RNAcentral is "partial 16S ribosomal RNA". It matches the Rfam family "Bacterial small subunit ribosomal RNA", at positions 1319 to 1500 of the family's 1533-position model. The record is from RNAcentral.
CAUGAAGUCGGAAUUGCUAGUAAUCACAGGUCAGCAUACUGUGGUGAAUACGUUCCCGGGCCUUGUACACACCGCCCGUCACACCAUGAGAGUUGAGAAUACCCGAAGCCCAUGUCAAAGUGGUCGAAGGUAGGCUUGAUGAUUGGGGUGAAGUCGUAACAAGGUAAC